GAUAGCUAGGAUGGUAAUUUACAAAGUGGUGCAGAAACUCUGGCUAACCACUGUCAGCUUUGUUCUUCCUCCAUGGGAGGCUCAAACUGAGGUCUCUUUUCUUUGGCAGUUCUAGAAGACCACUGAGCAGUCUUCUAGCAAAUACUGGCGAGGAGCAGAACUCAUUCCUUUCUCUCUCCCUUAUGAUCCAGUUACUUCUCUGAGAGACAGAGGCACCUGGUGCACAGAAAGAGAAGAUGUAUGAGGGAUUAAGAGUAUCUUACUCCUAAGAAGUGCUUCCUGAGCUUUGGAGAAGAAACUCUGGUCUGAGUUUUAACAAAUUUUAAGCAUGGAAAUGUGCCUGUGAAGUAGAUAUUUCUGCUGUGUAUUUCUGUCCUCUACCAGAGAUAGCAAGGCUGAGAGAGAAAGCUACUCCUCUUCAGAGGAAAAACAGGGGACCAGCCAGAGAACAGCCUGGGUGCAGGCACAUAUGCAGGCUGGUGGGACCAGUGGCAUACAGAAGUGUGAAGCAGCAGUGAGAGUACAAGCCAGUGGUUGGUAAAUUAGGUGAAGCAGUGUUGUGCUCCAGCACAGACACGCAGAGUAGAAGAAGGAGGGUGAGCAAGGCCACCACUCCUAGUGCUCUGGGAGAGCACUAGCAGCAGAAGACCAGUCCCAAGCCCCACAUCCAGAGGCCAAGAUCAGCCCUAUGCCCAGCACAAUUCCCCUGGCAAACUUGGCUGGAGAACACAGCACCUUUCUUGGAUCUGACUUGGACCCUAGCACGGAACUGUGGACAUGAGAGGGAUUUUACUGCUUUUAUUUUUCUUUGUUUGUCUGAUUGGUUUUCCUUUUUCUGUCUCAUUGGGCUUGUUUUGUU
Chinchilla lanigera (long-tailed chinchilla) is the source of this 859-nucleotide long non-coding RNA. RefSeq lists it as uncharacterized. NCBI's taxonomy places the organism in Eukaryota, Metazoa, Chordata, Mammalia, Rodentia, Chinchillidae. The record is from RefSeq and is a predicted model, not a curated record. The transcript has 4 exons.